This 328-nucleotide ribosomal RNA is filed under the name uncultured bacterium. RNAcentral describes it as "bacterial SSU rRNA". It matches the Rfam family "Bacterial small subunit ribosomal RNA", at positions 8 to 352 of the family's 1533-position model. The record is from RNAcentral.
AGAGUUUGAUCAUGGCUCAGAAUCAACGCUGGCGGCGUGCCUAACACAUGCAAGUCGAACGAGAAAGUCCGCAAGGAUGAGUACAGUGGCGACCGGGUGAGUAACACGUGACUAACCUACCUCUUAGUGGGGAAUAACUCCGGGAAACCGGAGCUAAUACCGCAUAACACCGCAAGGUCAAAGCAGCAAUGCGCUGGGAGAGGGGGUCGCGGCUGAUUAGCUAGUUGGUAGGGUAACGGCCUACCAAGGCAAAGAUCGGUAUCCGGCCUGAGAGGGCGCACGGACACACUGGAACUGAAACACGGUCCAGACUCCUACGGGAGGCAGC